This 484-nucleotide ribosomal RNA is filed under the name uncultured bacterium. Its description in RNAcentral is "partial 16S ribosomal RNA". It matches the Rfam family "Bacterial small subunit ribosomal RNA", at positions 30 to 507 of the family's 1533-position model. The record is from RNAcentral.
AUUGAACGCUGGCGGCAGGCCUAACACAUGCAAGUCGAGCGGAUGAAGGGAGCUUGCUCCUGGAUUCAGCGGCGGACGGGUGAGUAAUGCCUAGGAAUCUGCCUGGUAGUGGGGGAUAACGUCCGGAAACGGGCGCUAAUACCGCAUACGUCCUGAGGGAGAAAGUGGGGGAUCUUCGGACAUCACGCUAUCAGAUGAGCCUAGGUCGGAUUAGCUAGUUGGUGGGGUAAAGGCCUACCAAGGCGACGAUCCGUAACUGGUCUGAGAGGAUGAUCAGUCACACUGGAACUGGGACACGGUCCAGACUCCUACGGGAGGCAGCAGUGGGGAAUAUUGGACAAUGGGCGAAAGCCUGAUCCAGCCAUGCCGCGUGUGUGAAGAAGGUCUUCGGAUUGUAAAGCACUUUAAGUUGGGAGGAAGGGCAGUAAGUUAAUACCUUGCUGUUUUGACGUUACCAACAGAAUAAGCACCGGCUAACUUCGUG